GGACAAGCUGGAAGUGGUCCCUUUUCCCCUUCUCUCUUCCUCCAAUGUGAUCCACUGGCAAGGGAGGACGCCAAAGGAAGGCAUCCAAUAAGAUAAAGCUUAUAAAACAUAUAAAUUUAUGAGAAUUAAGACUGAGCUAACAGAUGAGAAUCCUAGUCAUUGUUUAAGCAGCAUUUGUACCUAAUAUAAUUCUCUGUGCAUUAAUUGGGGCCCUAACUUGGCAGGCAGAACUCAGGCACCUGGUGGAGACCGCCCACGUGGCGGUAGGGCUAUGGCAGCAUUUGGCGGAAAGAUUUAUCAUAACACUCACAUACCUGGGUUAGCCCAGGGGCACAGCUCUGGCACCAGGGAGGCUAACAGCCCCAAGCUGCAGGGAGACAUUCCAGGUCAGCUCCCUCAUCCCUCCUCUGGACUCUGGUCUCAUUAGACGUUAUGUGUGUUCACCUACGUGUUGGCAGGUGCUUAUGAAGGCCAGAGGCGUCUUCCUCUGUCACUGUCCACCUUGUUUUUGAGACAAGUCUCUCGAUGAUGCUGGAAUUCACGACUUCAGCUAGAUGAGGAGGCCAGUGAGACCCCCAGGAUCUCCCCUGGGCCGGGACUGCAGGUUCAUCCAAUCAACUACAUGGUAUUCAGAAGCUAUCUGUUAUGAGACAGUCUGUCCUCCUUGGUGGGUGACCACCUUAAGGGCACACAACAAGUCACACAUAUUCCAUAAGAAGUAGUUGGAGAGAUGGCUCAGAGGUUAAGAACACUGGCUGCUCUUCCAGAGGUCCGGAGUUCAAUUCCCAGCAACCACAUUGUGGUUCACAACCAUCUAUAAAUAAGUAGUUAUAACACGUGGAGUAGCGUCAUGGAAGUCACUCAGCAACUGCGAGGUGUCAGUGCCUGGCCCAUGUCAUGAGCUACAGUAAGGAGAAAAGUGAAGAGCCUGCCCUUUGGCCAUCACUCCUACCAGUGUCUGUGUAAUCCACACUAGAACUUGAGCUCAGUAA
RNAcentral lists this long non-coding RNA (992 nucleotides) under Cricetulus griseus (Chinese hamster). RNAcentral's name for it is "lncRNA (ENSCGRG00015030926.1)". Lineage: Eukaryota; Metazoa; Chordata; Mammalia; Rodentia; Cricetidae. The record is from RNAcentral.